RNAcentral lists this ribosomal RNA (339 nucleotides) under uncultured Pseudomonadota bacterium. RNAcentral describes it as "bacterial SSU rRNA". It matches the Rfam family "Bacterial small subunit ribosomal RNA", at positions 29 to 351 of the family's 1533-position model. The record is from RNAcentral. Lineage: Bacteria; Pseudomonadati; Pseudomonadota.
AACGAACGCUGGCGGCGUGCCUAACACAUGCAAGUCGAACGAGAAAGGGGCUUCGGCCCUGAGUAAAGUGGCGCACGGGUGAGUAACACGUGGGUAACCUGCCUCUGAGAUCGGGAUAACCUGUCGAAAGACGGGCUAAUACCGGAUAAGACCACGAUUCCUGCGGGGAUUGAGGUCAAAGGUAGCCUCUGCAUGCAAGCUAUCACUUAGAGAUGGGCCUGCGUACCAUUAGCUAGUUGGUAGGGUAAAGGCCUACCAAGGCAACGAUGGGUAGCUGGUCUGAGAGGAUGAUCAGCCACACUGGAACUGAGAUACGGUCCAGACUCCUACGGGUGGCAG